RNAcentral lists this non-coding RNA (28 nucleotides) under Mus musculus (house mouse). The record is from RNAcentral. Lineage: Eukaryota; Metazoa; Chordata; Mammalia; Rodentia; Muridae.
UCACUGAAUGGAAGGUGCCAUCUGCCUC